This 643-nucleotide ribosomal RNA is filed under the name uncultured bacterium. Its description in RNAcentral is "bacterial SSU rRNA". It matches the Rfam family "Bacterial small subunit ribosomal RNA", at positions 44 to 715 of the family's 1533-position model. The record is from RNAcentral.
AUGCUUAACACAUGCAAGUCGAACGAGGUAGCAAUACCGAGUGGCAGACGGGUGAGUAACGCGUGGUCAACCUACCUUCGAGCGGGGGAUAACUAGCCGAAAGGCUAGCUAAUACCGCAUAACACCGUAGCCGGCAUCGGCAUCGGUUGAAAGCAGCAAUGCACUCGAAGACGGGACCGCGUUCGAUUAGUUUGUUGGUGAGGUAAUGGCUCACCAAGACUACGAUCGAUAGCUGGUUUGAGAGAACGACCAGCCACACUGGGACUGAGAAACGGCCCAGACUCCUACGGGAGGCAGCAGUGAGGAAUUUUCCGCAAUGGGCGAAAGCCUGACGGAGCGACGCCGCGUAUGGGAAGAAGGCCUUCGGGUCGUAAACCACUGUCGAGGGGGAAGAUACUGACGGUACCCCUGGAGGAAGCCCCGGCUAACUACGUGCCAGCAGCCGCGGUAAGACGUAGGGGGCAAGCGUUAUUCGGAAUCAUUGGGCGUAAAGCGCUCGUAGGCGGGACAGGAAGUCCGUGCAGAAAGACCUGGGCUCAACUCAGGGACCGGCACGGAUACUCUUGUUUUUGAGGCAAUCAGAGGGUGAUGGAAUUCCCGGUGUAGCGGUGAAAUGCGUAGAUAUCGGAAGGAACACCAGUGG